Molecule: non-coding RNA, 4628 nt
Organism: Myodes glareolus (Bank vole)
Lineage: Eukaryota; Metazoa; Chordata; Mammalia; Rodentia; Cricetidae
Source: RefSeq, a predicted model, not a curated record
ACGAGUGGGCAUUAAGGCCGAAUAACUUCCCUUCCUGUUUCAGCUUCCAAAGCUUUGGGGCGGGGAGGUUCUUCAGGAGUUUUUCAUAGGGCUGCACUGGCAGUCGGCUCUCCGUCAGGACAUCCUGCCAGGAAGUUGACAUUUUCUACCCAGGUGACCAGGGACAGGGCUUGAAGGCUGACUGAGCAUCUGCUGUGGUGAGUCCCACACCGGCUCGAGCUGUAUGCAGACUGAGCCAGGCCUUUUGAGAUCACAGCGUAACUAAGGAGGUGAACACAGAGGAGGGAUCCAGAGCUCACAGCUGUGCCUGGCAGGAGGCAGAAGGGCAGGGGACCAUCUCCACUAGGCUAUACCUUCAGUUCAGUGUGUGCCUGAUGGUCUUCCAUAGGCUGUCACCGGCCAGGGCCAGAAGUGUCAGCCGGUCCCGACGGCAGCUUUCUCAUACCUUGGAAAUUUACAAACCUUACUUUGGCUGUCUUUGCUUGUCUGGAAAGAGCAGGUGCCCGUGAGAACAUUUAGCAUUGUGAACAAAUGGGCGUUCAGGAGCAUUUUGGUCGAAACUGAAUGUUAUCCUUCCUGGAUCCUAACUUGAUGGGGCCCCGUUUCUUAGCAGCAUGAGAAAUAGGUCACCAGAGUAGCAGGAAGCUGGGCAAAUGGCUAGAACAACAAGAACUAAGUUGGUUGGACCCAUUGAAGAAAAAAAAUCUAACAAAUGAGCUUUCAGAAUUAUAGGAUGAAUACGCCAAGAAGACCUGAAUUCUAUGGUAUUAUCUGCAGUGGCUGGGAGCAUUUGCCCAGGGAGGGGUUAGUGGUCGUAGCUAAUUUGUAAAGCAGAGUUUUCCUGCUGUCCUCUGUUAGUUCUUGGUGGCUCAAGUCACCCGAUGGCGCCCUCUGAGGUGGCUUCUUUCUCCUCUGUGGUGUGCAUCUGUCAGGGGAGCAGGAUGACCCACAGUCAGAGAGCGUGCCCCUCAGGAAAAGGAAGGGCGUUCCGUGGGACAGAGAAGUCAGGGUGGUAUGUUUGAGACCCGAGGCUGGGGAGUGGACUUUCAGCUGUGGCCUUGUCCCUGUUUCAGUAACAUGAGGGUCAGUCCCGCUGGCCCUGUCCCCAUCACUGUUCUCGGCAUCCGCUGCUGUCCUUUAGGCUUCCCUGGCUUCCGCUGGUGCACUUUGCCCUAAUUCCUUUAGUUUCUCCUCCAUUUUUCUGUGCUCACCACAUGCUACCCCUGCCCCAUUCCUGACCACCCAGCUUUCCUCUCCCUAAUGAUGCUUUCCCACAGCUCGGACCAGUCCUCCUGUCCCCUGAGGCUGGCCAGCCCUCCUGUCCCCUGAGGCCAGCUCUCCUGUCCCCUGAGGCCAGCUCUCCUGUCCCCUGAGGCCAGCCCUCCUGUCCCCUGAGGCCAGUUCUCCUGUCCCCUGAGCACCCCAGGAGCUACGCUGAGGAUCUUCAGUGCAAUCCUUAAAGCCCAUCUGCUGGAGAGCCCUUACUAGGCUCUGCUGAACCCCAAAGCCUCAGGUCACCUGAAGACAACUGAACAGGUUUGGACCCCAAGUCCUGAGGGCUGAAUCAGUGACACCCCUCAGUCUUUCGUGCCACAUUCUUGUAGUGGCCCCUGCAAGGAAGUUCCACAGAGAUGCAGAUGUGAAGAGACGCCUAGUUUCCCACAGAUCUCAGGACCUUGAUGCAGAACUGAGCGACUUAGCCUUCUGGAGCCAGAGCACCAAGUCAGCUCGGAGGCAUUUGGCAAGCAAUUAUCCCCAGCCCCGCCUUCUCCCAAUUGGCCCUGAUUUUACAGCCUCUUCUAUAUGGCUGUUCAAGUUCCUAGUCAUCUGGGAAAGCAAGCAGCAGCACAUUCUCCACGCAGGGACUUGUACUAAGUCACAUAGCGAAGCUGGGAUAAUGAGGCAGAAACUAGUCAUGCCAAGAUCCCAUCGGAGGGUAGGUCUGUGAUCUGCACUCGCUGCCCAAUAGAAGGAUGCCCAUUCUGACGCAGUGUCUCGUGUUUGCCGUGCACAGAUAAAGACAAACAGCCCUGCAGGGAUCCUAUCUGGAAGAGUGGCUCUGGGCAGGUGCCCCCAAGCCCUUCUGGGGAGGAAGAGGCUGUGGCCUGGUCCCUGUCCCAGGCUAUGAUCUUUAUAGUGCCACCGGUGGGGCCUGGUACUGAGAUGACAUUAGGGUGUUUCCCAGUCCCUAGACCACACCUUGAAAGAACUGCAUUCUCUUGCCAUCUCUGGGAGAUUCUGGCUGGGGCAUGUUCUUUGCAACUGUUUCCUACCCUGCAGCUUCAGGAUCCAGCUGGGAUCCCAGAGAAAUCCAGAGGGAACAGUUACUGAGCUCCAACAAAUGCAUUAUCUUUGUUCUCUCUAUGUAGAACCAGAUACAAGCUGUUUUUCUGUUUGUUUUGUCUUGUGAGUGAUGUGCUGGGCAGAAGGGCAGUGUGUUAGGUCUGGUUCAGUGCUCUCAUCUCCUAGGACCAAAACCAAGGUCAGAUGGACCUGCUGGGGAUGACUGAGCAAACAGAAGAGCAUCCUGGGAGAAUUGAGAGUCCUGAGUCCCAGGCGAUUCUUCCACUGUGUCAACCGCAGCUAAAGGGUUGGUCCCCUGCAGGGCUGCUUGUCCUCAGCAUAUGGAAGACAUCAGAUGCUCUGUAGGAAAGCGGUGGCCUCCUGCCACGGGCUGUAAUUAUGAGCCUGAACCAGGGCUGACUGGAGCAUCUUGCCUGGUGCCUUUGUCCUGGCUUUGCCGCCGGUUGGCUCUGUGACCUAGGACAGGUCCCUGCAGUCAUGCUGCUUAGUUGCCAAAGGAAACAGCAACACACCGGGUCAUAUGGACUAUGCCUACAGAGACUGCCUGAGAAAACAAAUCGGCAACAACAAAAAUGGGGAAGCGCAAGGAAAAUAAACCAGCAAAAGGAAUAAGAAAAACCUUCAAACCACAUUCAUUCAAAAAUCAUAAGAAUACAUCUCAAGUCUGCAAAGAAACUUCGGCCUUUUGGGAACAGUCUGUUGUCGCUGGAUGGAGGAGGCAUGUCUUUGAAUUCACAAGGUUUCUCAACUUCUUGAGACAGUGUAGCCAUUGCUCCCAUCCCAUAGCAACCUGCUAAGAGCUGUUACUCUUCCUGCACAAACAUACAGCGUCUUCCCUUUCCUUCCUCUAGCAGAGUCAAGACAGAGUUGAAAAACCUCACAACUUUAUACCACCAGAGACUCAUGGAUGGCAGAAGGGGAUUCACAUGGCAUAAUGUAACACAGGAUGUGGGAUACCCAUAGUGGAACGGCUCAUGCCCGCAGCCUGCAAAUCCUGCCUUCUCCCAGCUCCCUUCUGCGACCUCAUAGCGAGCCCUCGUUUGAAUCUUGAGGCCUGAAGUCUCUACCGAGAAAAUCUGGAGCACUGCUCUUGCUCAGUUCUGCUGUUUGUCAGAGCAUCUCUCUUCCCCUCAAAUGGCUGGGUGGUGAGAACGGCAUUGCCAAUCGGGACUCUAGGGCAACGGGCUUACUGGCUGCAACACUGCACCCAAGUCGAACUAGGGCAUGGUGCCCUUACUUUCAUUGCCAUGUAGAUAUUUCCCCCCAACUGAAACAUUUCCUGCAGAAUGUAAGAAGGCACCUAAGUCUCGGGAGCUAAUGACACUUGAGGACUCAGAAAGUUCUAGAUUUACAAGGCCCCUUCUGAAGGUUACAAGCAACAAACAAUUCCCAGGGAAGAAGAGAUUCUUCUGUCUGCAAAUUUGACAGGGGUGUCCAUGAAUGCAGCUUUCAAAACCAUCAUAUAGGCUGGGAUAGGCUUUUUAGUGACGUAGCUCCUUUGAGAUAGCCUUUGUUCUGGUUUGUUUUCUGUCACUGUGAUGAGCAUUGAGAACAGAAGCAACUUAGGGGAGAAAAUGGUUUGUAUCAACUCAUAUUUCCAGGCCACAGUCCAUCACUGAAGGAAGUCAAGCAGGAACCAUGGAGAACUGCUGCUUACUGGCUUGCUUCUCCCACUGGCUCUCCGCUGCCUUUUACAUACAGCUCAGGCCGACCUUCAUAGGGAUGGUGCCGCCCACAGUGGGCUGGGUCCUCCAACAAUGAUCAUCCAGCCAAAGAAUUCUUCAUAGAUAUGACCACAGGCCAAUUUGGUUGAAGAAAUUCUUUACCUGAGGUUUCUUCUUCCAAGGUGGACUCUAGGUUGUGUCAAGUUAAUAAUUAAAACUAACCAGAUACCCAAUGCUCUUGUAAGAAAACCCAGGAAACUCAUUGGUCCAUCAAGCUACACUUGAGUUGAAUUAUUUUUCUGAUCUGUAAUCAGUGCCUAGGGUAGAGAGAUGUUCAUUUGUGGCUCUCCGGGAGGAGCAUAGGACAAUAAUGAAUGCCUACACACCCAGCCCGUGUUACUGCCACUACCAUUCCUUCCUCUCUCAUCAUCACCUGUAGCCAUGAGGCUCCUGGCCAGUCUUUGGCCACCAUCCAUCUUCCCCACGUUGCUGGGUCUGAUGCUCAUGCCCUAGAAUUUUACAACUUGGCAAUUUGCAAAUUAUCUGCUCUUAGCAUUUGCUUGCUCUUUUAGAUUCUACCAAGUAUGACCCUCAAAGACAUUUUGCUUCUGUGGAUCACCUGUUAAUAUUUGCUAUCAGUAUUAAAGCAGAGGAAUUCAA